This 497-nucleotide long non-coding RNA is filed under the name Nicotiana benthamiana. RNAcentral's name for it is "long non-coding RNA (NBEN_LNC024602)". Lineage: Eukaryota; Viridiplantae; Streptophyta; Magnoliopsida; Solanales; Solanaceae. The record is from RNAcentral.
UUAGAAGAUCCUCUAGGGAUCACCACCCACCUGCUCAUCUUCAGCCUUAUGUUUGUCAACCUCCCCUUCCUUGUGUUGCCCUAGUGCUUCUUUAUCUAGUUGCUUUCAUUCCCUAGUUGAUAAUACUAUUACUGAACCUUCAUCUUACAACCAAACUGCCUCUACUCCAGAAUGGCAAGAAGCCAUGAAGAAAGAAUUUGAGGCACUUGAGGCUAAUCACACUUGGUCUAUUGUUGAGUUGCCUCAAGGUAAGAAACCAAUUGGGUUCAAAUAGGUUUACAAAGCUAAAUAUAGUCUAGGGAUCACCACCCACCUGCUCAUCUUCAGCCUUAUGUUUGUCAACUUCCCCCUUUCUUGUGUGGCCCUAGUGCUUCUUUAUCUAGUUGCUUUCAUUCCCUAGUUGAUAAUACUAUUACUAAACCUUCAUCUUAAUACCAAGCUGCCUCUAUUCCAGAAUGGCAAGAAGCCAUGAAGAAAGAAUUUGAGGCACUUGAGGC